Molecule: ribosomal RNA, 467 nt
Filed under: uncultured bacterium
Lineage: Bacteria
Description: partial 16S ribosomal RNA
Rfam family: Bacterial small subunit ribosomal RNA
Source: RNAcentral
GACGAACGCUGGCGGCGUGCUUAACACAUGCAAGUCGAACGGAAAGGCCCUGCUUUUGUGGGGUGCUCGAGUGGCGAACGGGUGAGUAACACGUGAGUAACCUGCCCUUGACUUUGGGAUAACUUCAGGAAACUGGGGCUAAUACCGGAUAGGAGCUCCUGCUGCAUGGUGGGGGUUGGAAAGUUUCGGCGGUUGGGGAUGGACUCGCGGCUUAUCAGCUUGUUGGUGGGGUAGUGGCUUACCAAGGCUUUGACGGGUAGCCGGCCUGAGAGGGUGACCGGCCACAUUGGGACUGAGAUACGGCCCAGACUCCUACGGGAGGCAGCAGUGGGGAAUAUGGCACAAUGGGCGGAAGCCUGAUGCAGCAACGCCGCGUGCGGGAUGACGGCCUUCGGGUUGUAAACCGCUUUCGCCUGUGACGAAGCGUGAGUGACGGGAAUGGGUAAAGAAGCACCGGCUAACUACGU